This 509-nucleotide ribosomal RNA is filed under the name uncultured glomeraceous AM fungus. Its description in RNAcentral is "SSU rRNA". It matches the Rfam family "Eukaryotic small subunit ribosomal RNA", at positions 569 to 1078 of the family's 1831-position model. The record is from RNAcentral. Lineage: Eukaryota; Fungi; Glomeromycota; Glomeromycetes; Glomerales; Glomeraceae.
AGCAGCCGCGGUAAUUCCAGCUCCAAUAGCGUAUAUUAAAGUUGUUGCAGUUAAAAAGCUCGUAGUUGAAUUUCGGGAUCAAUGUUUCGGUCAUGCCCUUGGUAUGUACUGAUAUUAUUGGUUUCUCACCUUCUAAAGAACCGUAGUGCCAUUAAUUUGGUGUCACGGGGAAUUAGGACUGUUACCUUGAAAAAAUUAGAGUGUUUAAAGCAGGCUCACGCUUGAAUACAUUAGCAUGGAAUAAUGAAAUAGGACAUCCGAUUCUAUUUUGUUGGUUUCUAGGAUCGUUGUAAUGAUUAAUAGGGAUAGUUGGGGGCAUUAGUAUUCAAUUGUCAGAGGUGAAAUUCUUGGAUUUAUUGAAGACUAACUACUGCGAAAGCAUUUGCCAAGGAUGUUUUCAUUAAUCAAGAACGAAAGUUAGGGGAUCGAAGACGAUCAGAUACCGUCGUAGUCUUAACCAUAAACUAUGCCGACUAGGGAUCGGAUGAUGUUAAUUUUUUAAUGACUCA